Molecule: ribosomal RNA, 600 nt
Filed under: Bacillus sp. CO19
Lineage: Bacteria; Bacillati; Bacillota; Bacilli; Caryophanales; Bacillaceae
Description: bacterial SSU rRNA
Rfam family: Bacterial small subunit ribosomal RNA
Source: RNAcentral
AGUCUGACGGAGCAACGCCGCGUGAGUGAUGAAGGUUUUCGGAUCGUAAAGCUCUGUUGUUAGGGAAGAACAAGUGCAAGAGUAACUGCUUGCACCUUGACGGUACCUAACCAGAAAGCCACGGCUAACUACGUGCCAGCAGCCGCGGUAAUACGUAGGUGGCAAGCGUUGUCCGGAAUUAUUGGGCGUAAAGGGCUCGCAGGCGGUUUCUUAAGUCUGAUGUGAAAGCCCCCGGCUCAACCGGGGAGGGUCAUUGGAAACUGGGAAACUUGAGUGCAGAAGAGGAGAGUGGAAUUCCACGUGUAGCGGUGAAAUGCGUAGAGAUGUGGAGGAACACCAGUGGCGAAGGCGACUCUCUGGUCUGUAACUGACGCUGAGGAGCGAAAGCGUGGGGAGCGAACAGGAUUAGAUACCCUGGUAGUCCACGCCGUAAACGAUGAGUGCUAAGUGUUAGGGGGUUUCCGCCCCUUAGUGCUGCAGCUAACGCAUUAAGCACUCCGCCUGGGGAGUACGGUCGCAAGACUGAAACUCAAAGGAAUUGACGGGGGCCCGCACAAGCGGUGGAGCAUGUGGUUUAAUUCGAAGCAACGCGAAGAACCU